This 253-nucleotide ribosomal RNA is filed under the name uncultured bacterium. Its description in RNAcentral is "partial 16S ribosomal RNA". It matches the Rfam family "Bacterial small subunit ribosomal RNA", at positions 524 to 776 of the family's 1533-position model. The record is from RNAcentral.
UACGUAGGGGGCAAGCGUUGUCCGGAAUCAUUGGGCGUAAAGCGCGUGUAGGCGGCUGACUAAGUCCGCUCUGAAAGCCCGGGGCUCAACCCCGGGAGGCGGGUGGAUACUGGUCAGCUCGAGUCCGGAAGAGGAGUGUGGAAUUCCUGGUGUAGCGGUGAAAUGCGCAGAUAUCAGGAGGAACACCAAUUGCGAAGGCAGCUCGCUGGGACGUUACUGACGCUGAGACGCGAAAGCGUGGGGAGCAAACAGG